GAUGAACGCUGGCGGCGUGCCUAAUACAUGCAAGUCGAGCGAACAGAUGAGGAGCUUGCUCCUCUGACGUUAGCGGCGGACGGGUGAGUAACACGUGGAUAACCUACCUAUAAGACUGGGAUAACUUCGGGAAACCGGAGCUAAUACCGGAUAAUAUAUUGAACCGCAUGGUUCAAUAGUGAAAGACGGUUUUGCUGUCACUUAUAGAUGGAUCCGCGCCGCAUUAGCUAGUUGGUAAGGUAACGGCUUACCAAGGCAACGAUGCGUAGCCGACCUGAGAGGGUGAUCGGCCACACUAGAACUGAGACACGGUCCAGAGUCCUACGGGAGGCAGCAGUAGGGAAUCUUCCGCAAUGGGCGAAAGCCUGACGGAGCAACGCCGCGUGAGUGAUGAAGGUCUUCGGAUCGUAAAACUCUGUUAUUAGGGAAGAACAAAUGUGUAAGUAACUAUGCACGUCUUGACGGUACCUAAUCAGAAAGCCACGGCUAACUACGUG
RNAcentral lists this ribosomal RNA (497 nucleotides) under uncultured bacterium. Its description in RNAcentral is "partial 16S ribosomal RNA". It matches the Rfam family "Bacterial small subunit ribosomal RNA", at positions 28 to 507 of the family's 1533-position model. The record is from RNAcentral.